AGAGAGAGAGAGAGAGAGAGAGAGAUGGUUGAUUCUCUUGUCUACCCAGAAGAUAGAAACCGAGUAUCAAAUUCUUUUCAAUUUCAUUAUGAAGUUUUGUGAAGGAAAAAAUAAAAAAUAAAAGUUGAAAAAUAAGAGAGGGAGAACGGGAACUGUGUGGCUUUUUCUACCUCUUUGGGAAGCAGAGGUGCCUCUUUGUGUAGAGCCUGACCGUUUCUUCCAUUAUGAGCUUUGCAGAACCUUUAGGCACGAGAAGCCUUGAGAGC
RNAcentral lists this unclassified non-coding RNA (266 nucleotides) under Hevea brasiliensis (rubber tree). Lineage: Eukaryota; Viridiplantae; Streptophyta; Magnoliopsida; Malpighiales; Euphorbiaceae. The record is from RNAcentral.